RNAcentral lists this long non-coding RNA (3986 nucleotides) under Strigops habroptila (Kakapo). RNAcentral's name for it is "lncRNA (ENSSHBG00005007833.1)". Lineage: Eukaryota; Metazoa; Chordata; Aves; Psittaciformes; Psittacidae. The record is from RNAcentral.
GGAAAGUGCAAACUUUUAUUUUGCUAUCAAAUUGCAUUUGUAGGAAAUAUUUAAAAUGAACAGUAUUGUCAUAAAAAGUAAGCCAGAGCAUCUCUGAUCAGGCAUUUUUAAUUCAUUCCAAAUGAUCUGAUUUCACAGGAAAAGAAAGACGUGGUAAAAAUAGCCUUUCUCAGACUAGUGGCAUAAGGAACGGUGGUGUAAAAGGCCUUGAUCCACAGCCCACUUGAAGUCAUUACAGUGACAUCAUUCAGCCUUGGAUCAGGGCUUGAGCAAAGAAUAUAUUGAUUUUUAAACAGAUGUGAGACCAGAAUCUAACUCAACAUACAGACACUGUAUGAAUUGCAUUGAAAUGUCUGUCUUUAUUUUAGCAGGAUCUGAGAACAGUUUUACCUUUCUGCAUCUACCUGUAAAACAAGAUACUUUUCUGAACAAAUAUGAACAAAUCUGGGUGACCAACAAUCUAGUCUCAAGAACUAUUUUCUUUCAUAUUUUCAUCAAAACCAUAGUUCAAUUUAGGGAAUAUAUAUCUGUAUAUCCCAAACAGGUUAUUUUAGUAGUAUUUUUAUAGUUUGGAAAUGACAAAGUAUUCUACUCUUACAAAUGAAACAGGAAAGACACAAUGCUACAUAUGCAAAUGAAAUUAAAAUACCUGAAGGAUUGCUUUUCCAUGAUGUAGACAUUACACAUAAAUCGACAGUAAUUUAAAUUUCAUCAUUAUCAUGCACUUGUAGAGUUUCUUCAAAAUUUAAGUUGAUAGUUAAUUUAAGAAUGCUGACUUAGAUCACAAUACAGUAAUUAGACAAAAUUAAAGUAAAAAUUGAAAGAAAAUUAAUCAAGUAAUAUAAUAAAUUUUGUAGUACCUUUUCCAUGGACAACUCCACUAAUAAUCUUACAGUAUGAAUUAUCAGGGAGGAAAAAUGGUUUGAUUACACAACUUUGUUACAAAACUAUCUUUGAAUUAAGGUGGCAAUGCGAUAGGUGCUAGCUUUCACUGAAAACGCUGCCUGCUUUUUUUACAUCUACACUGCAGAUUUAUUUUUAUAUCAGUUUUUAAUGUAUCAGUGAAAAUAGCAAAGGUUUCGAGGACUGCAGGGUGGCUCGCAAUGCUCUAGUGCUUCGGAGGAGUGUGGUUUUUCACAUAAUGCUUAAAAUACGUGUCUCACAGUAAAAUAAUGAUUUAAAAGACCAGAACAAAUCCUGGGUAAAAAGAGUGAACACAAACAUUUAAAGUAUUAAAUAUAUACAUAUAAAGUAUGAAAGUAUUAAGUGUUCCUUAUCUGAGCACAAGGUGAAAUGAAACACAGGAGAAGGAAAAGAAGAAACUGUAUUUCAACAGCAGGGAUGUUCCUGACCCUUCCUGGCAUCAGCACUCUCCUGUAUUUUUUAAUCUCAUAACUGGGAGUUUUGAUCAUUUUUCAUGAGGGAGAAUUGCUCAGAUAUCCCUUCCACAUAAUUUUAAAUGGAAACUGGAAGAAUAAGAGAAGCAAAACAAAACCUAAACCCUGUAUGCUCCAUUUGCUGAAUAUAUGGUUUUCUUCUCCCCACGUGUGCAUGUGCCAGAUGGCAUUACACUGGGUUGGAUGAUAAUAAACAUGAAAAAUACAGUCAGUGCACGAGCAGAGAUAACUGUGGCUGAAUGUACAAGGAUUUGGGCUGGUGGGGGAAAGGGGCAGAAGUUCCAGCGGUGAGUGAAAAGCAAAGUUCAUGUCCUCAAGGGAGAAGCUGCUCUUGUUUCCAAUCAGCUUCCGUUGGCAGGGGGACUUGGGACCGCUGGGAAAGGAGGUUGUCCCUGGUUAUCCCAGCACCCUACCCAAGGGGAACAUUUGGGGCCAUUUCCCUCCUGGCAGAGCCAAGUCUGUAAACCUAGAGUGACAGGAAAUUGUUUGGUGCUAUGGAGGGGCAGCAGGCCUGAGUGAGGGGUGGCUAACGCACCUCUGGUCUCUCAACCCCUGGGCGUGAGGCUGGAAGGCUGCUGUGAAGGGAUGAGGUUCAGCUGGCAACACAGGCUGCUCUAGGAGAGGGACAUGUCUGGGCCAAGGGUGGUGGACUGACCUUGUGGGCCCCUGUCCCCUUCCCAUGGCCUGGGCCCUGAGGAUAUCAUCCAUCCCACCAUUGUGUGGGAGCUGCUGUGUCCGCAGAGAGGACCCUCACCUCUGCUUAGCCCCUUGGCAACACCUCCACGGGAAGCACGAGGAGCAGCUGCUCCUCUUGGAAAGCCACUGCAUCUUCCUCCUUCAUAACCUCUUUCUGGAAGUAAGAGGUAUCUCCAGAUGAAAUACACCCAUGUACAGCAACAGGGCAUUUGGCCCCUGGCCAUGUGCAUUGCUGUUGUCCUCUGUGCAGGCACUGGCUUCACAACAUUGUUUUUCCUCUGGAUUUCUGCAUUCAGGUUAGCAAGUGAGGCGCCUGGAGGGGACCUAAAGCAUGUGCAAGACCUCCUAGAGCAUAGAUUUUGAGGGAUCCAUUUGUCUAGUAGGUGAAGUUUUUCUCCUAUCAGAUGAACUGAUAAAAGAAAGAGUCUUGGGGGCAUCUGCUAACAAAUACCUGGCAGGGAAGGGUGCUUACAGUAGGUAUCAGCUAUAUUGAAACCUUUGUAUGAAGCAGUCUGCAUUCCUGCUGUUACUCAUAUGACCAAGAGGCUGAUGUAGUUGGAAACUGGUUUUCUUUCAACCCAGUACCUGUCCUAGGAAAAUUCUCUCUGGCAAGGGAAAAGAAACUUCCAACCAGAAGAUGAAAUGGCACCUAUGCAGUAAUUUAUUUGCCCCAUUCACUUCAACCUCUCUUUGCUUUUGUUUGUUACUCUGAUUUUUUCCUUCUUACUGACACAUUGCAUUUUGAAAGGGACAAACUUAAAUUUAGGAAGCUAAUCAAAAUGCAGUGGAUAAUUAUUUAGUUUUAAAUAAUUCUAUUCUUUGCUUCCUUUGUAAUCUAUGUGACAUUGUUACAGAAUGCAUUACCCAAGCAAAAGGAGCAGGAAAGAAGCACGGAAUUAUUCUUGGUCCUGUAAAGAAUGUAAUUAAGAGUUUCUUAACUCAGCUCUCUUAGUCCAAUGAAACUUUCUUCUCUGUUCCUGCAUGAACACUGAGCAUAGUCAGCACUCAAGAGUGACCACUAAAAUGUGUGACUGCUCCGUCUAUGAACUAGGCAGCAUCUGAGGCUGGCUAUGACAUUAUCCAUCUUUGUAGGCUAACUACAAUAAGUUGGAGAAGAAGCUUUGGAUUCACUAAUUCCUGUGAGAUAAGAGAUGGGGAAGAGGGAAAGGUAAUCCCCAGCAUUUUAAGAUACGGAUGGCAGAGACCUUAGCUCCUUGAGCACAGGCUCUGGGCAUGAGGGUGGAAGACAGGGGAGUUUCCUCUGCUCAGCACAUGGAGAGGCAUUUACCAAAAGGUUGCAAAAGGCAUUUAGCAUCAGCUGCACCACAGUUAUUGGGAGCGCAGGGAAAGGGACCGAGGGAUGUGAGCUGGCAAUGUGGCUGGGAUCACAGUCCCCACUGGUUGUUGGCUGGCGGUUUUUUUUCCUUUUUUUCCUUUUUUUGGGUGACUUCGAGAGAUGUCACGGCAAAGUGAAAUCUUUGUGGAGGGCUGCUCAUGCAUUCAGACUGUAGAGUUUUCAAAAUGUGAUGUUUUGCAAUGAUGACAUUAGAGUAGCAACCAAGGGUCCGGAGACAGCAACGCCUGCUGCAGCUGGGCUUCGCUUUGAAAUGCCCAAGACAAUGGGGGCCACUGUUCUUCAUCGCUUCGCCUUUCCAUUCCAUUUGCAUAGUCUGUUCUGCCUGAUUGACCAGCUUGGGCUGUCCAAGGGACCAGCAUUGUUCACAGAUCACUUCAAGAUGGCACAGAUGACAAGAUUCAGGUGAGAGAUGAAGUGGGAUGAUUCUCGAAUGCCAUAAGGAAAAGCCACCCUGGGAACUUUUAGUGCAAGAGAAAUAAUUCCAGAAUUGCAGCAUUUAAAGGAUUUUUUUAAUAACCUUUAAAAAAAAAAAAAAA